AAGUAUUACAACUCUUUAGAAUUUGUCUAGCAGGUUUUCUAAUACCCUC
This is a small nuclear RNA of Cercocebus atys (sooty mangabey), 49 nucleotides long. Its record names the gene U7. It matches the Rfam family "U7 small nuclear RNA". Rfam says of the family: Animal histone pre-mRNAs are spliced by a different mechanism than nuclear pre-mRNAs and self-splicing introns. Lineage: Eukaryota; Metazoa; Chordata; Mammalia; Primates; Cercopithecidae. The record is from Ensembl.